GAAAUGCGAUACGUAAUGCGAAUUGCAGAAUUCAGUGAAUCAUCGAAUCUUUGAACGCAAAUUGCACUCUUGGGCUCGCCCUGAGAGUAUGCCUCUUUCAGUAUCGGUUCUAACUAUCUCUUGCUCCUCGCGUGUGGUUGCGCUUGCGCGACUCACACGUCAGGUGGUGAGGACAUUGAGCUGUCUUGGCUGUUUAGUCGGCCCAGUCGCUUUAAUACCAAUGAGCCCUUUGUGGGGAUGUCCCUACACUCAACUGGAGAUACUAUGACUUCGGUCAUUUUUCUUCCGGUUGCAGUGGCCAGGGUCCGCAUCCUUUCACACUCCAAAAGGGUACUCGGUGAACGAGUCAAAUCUGACUCAGACAACUUUCCGAUCUGAUCUGAAAUGAGGUAAGAGGACC
Molecule: unclassified non-coding RNA, 400 nt
Filed under: uncultured fungus
Lineage: Eukaryota; Fungi
Description: sequence contains ITS1
Rfam family: 5.8S ribosomal RNA (bases 1-106)
Source: RNAcentral